CCUUAGCCCCGAUAGCAGUGAAAUCCUUUUAUGCCGGGGUUCGGCAUAAAAGAUUCGAACGGAUAGCGGGAAAAAGC
This 77-nucleotide small RNA is filed under the name Flavobacterium chilense. RNAcentral describes it as "Flavo-1 RNA". It matches the Rfam family "Flavo-1 RNA". Lineage: Bacteria; Pseudomonadati; Bacteroidota; Flavobacteriia; Flavobacteriales; Flavobacteriaceae. The record is from RNAcentral.